GCAGCGGAAAACCCGUCGAACCGAGGUGU
RNAcentral lists this non-coding RNA (29 nucleotides) under Bombyx mori (domestic silkworm). The record is from RNAcentral. Lineage: Eukaryota; Metazoa; Arthropoda; Insecta; Lepidoptera; Bombycidae.